This 495-nucleotide ribosomal RNA is filed under the name uncultured bacterium. Its description in RNAcentral is "partial 16S ribosomal RNA". It matches the Rfam family "Bacterial small subunit ribosomal RNA", at positions 28 to 507 of the family's 1533-position model. The record is from RNAcentral.
GACGAACGCUGGCGGCGUGCCUAAUACAUGCAAGUAGAACGCUGAAGGAGGAGCUUGCUUCUCUGGAUGAGUUGCGAACGGGUGAGUAACGCGUAGGUAACCUGCCUGGUAGCGGGGGAUAACUAUUGGAAACGAUAGCUAAUACCGCAUAAGAGUAGAUGUUGCAUGACAUUUGCUUAAAAGGUGCAAUUGCAUCACUACCAGAUGGACCUGCGUUGUAUUAGCUAGUUGGUGAGGUAACGGCUCACCAAGGCAACGAUACAUAGCCGACCUGAGAGGGUGAUCGGCCACACUGGGACUGAGACACGGCCCAGACUCCUACGGGAGGCAGCAGUAGGGAAUCUUCGGCAAUAGACGGAAGUCUGACCGAGCAACGCCGCGUGAGUGAAGAAGGUUUUCGGAUCGUAAAGCUCUGUUGUAAGAGAAGAACGAGUGUGAGAGUGGAAAGUUCACACUGUGACGGUAGCUUACCAGAAAGGGACGGCUAACUACGUG